GAAAGUAAACAAGGGCGCAUGGAGGAUGCCUAGGCUCUCGGAGGCGAAGAAGGACGUGAUAAGCUGCGAAAAGUUACGGUAAGGCGCAAAUAGCCGUAGACCCGUAAAUAUCCGAAUGGGGCAACCCGGCCAGCAAUGGCCAUACCGCCAAGCGGUAAGCCAACGCGGGGAACUGAAACAUCUAAGUACCCGCAGGAAAAGAAAAUAACAAUGAUUCCGCCAGUAGUGGCGAGCGAACGCGGAACAGCCCAAACCACCCGUGUUACGGCACGGGUGGGGUAGAAGGAUCCACGACACGGCAAGAAAUAAGUUAGCGGAAUACGAUGGAAAUCGUAGCCAGAGACGGUGACAGCCCGGUACGCGAAAACCGACAGAAGCCCAGUGGACACCUGAGUAACCCAGGACACGAGAAAUCCGGGGCGAAUCAGCGGGGCCCAUCCCGUAAGGCUAAAUACUCCCGAGAGACCGAUAGCGAACCAGUACUGUGAAGGAAAGGUGAAAAGAACCUCGAACAGAGGAGUGAAAAAGACCCUGAAACCAUACGCCUACAAGCGGUCGGAGCCCCUACGUGGGGUGACGGCGUGCCUUUUGCAUAAUGAACCUACGAGUUACUUUUGCCAGCCAGGUUAAUCGAUUCAGUCGAGGAGCCGAAGCGAAAGCGAGUCUUAAUAGGGCGGUAUAAGUUGGCAGGAGUAGACGCGAAACCAAGUGAUCUACCCAUGAGCAGGUUGAAGGUUAGGUAACACUAACUGGAGGACCGCACCGGUAAACGUUGAAAAGUUUUCGGAUGACUUGUGGGUAGGGGUGAAAGGCUAAUCAAACUUGGAGAUAGCUCGUACUCCCCGAAAUGCAUUUAGGUGCAGCCUUCUGACUAUAUUUAAGAGGUAGAGCGACUGAUAAGAUGCGAGGGCUUCACCGCCUAUCAAGUCUUGAUAAACUCCGAAUGCUUAAAUAUGAAUCAGAGGAGUGAGGGCAUGGGUGCUAAGGUCCAUGUCCGAGAGGGAAAUAACCCAGACCACCGGCUAAGGUCCCGAAAUAACGGCUAAGUUGAAUUAACGAAGUAGAAUUGCAAAGACAGCUAGGAUGUUGGCUUGGAAGCAGCCAUUCAUUUAAAGAGUGCGUAACAGCUCACUAGUCGAGGAGUUUUGCAUGGAUAAUAAUCGGGCAUAAGCCCUUUACCGAAGCUGUGGAUGUCGCAAGACAUGGUAGGGGAGCAUUCCGGCGGCGACGAAGGCCGUCCUCGAGGACGACUGGAGCUCCCGGAAAAGCAAAUGUAGGUAUAAGUAACGAUAAAGGGGGCGCGAAACCCCCUCGCCAUAAGACUAAGGAUUCCUGAUCAACGCUAAUCGGAUCAGGGUAAGUCGGGCCCUAAGGCGCAGCCGAACGGCGCAGCCGAUGGAAGAAACGGUAAAGAUUCCGUUACUGGAUAUAGGAGCGAUGUGGAGACGGAGAAGUGACACACCCGCCUGCCGACGGAAGCGCAGGUUAAAGGAAGUAGGUAAACGCCGGGCAGGCAAAUCCGCCCAGCGUGCCGAAGCUGACAGUAUCGAGAGCCCCCGGGCAAUCGAAUAGCGGUGGUAACCAGGCUCCCAAGAAAAUCCGCUAAGCAUAUUCUAUAUCCACCCGUACCCCAAACGGACACACGUAGUCGGGUAGAAUAUACCAAGGCGCUCGAAAGACUCACGGUUAAGGAACUAGGCAAAUUGACCCUGUAACCUCGGGAAAAAGGGUCCCCAGUAAGAUGGGGCGCAGAGAAUAGGUCCAGGCAACUGUUUAACAAAAACACAGGGCUGUGCAAAAUUUGAAGAUGAAGUAUACAGCCUGACACCUGCCCGGUGCCGGAAGGUUAAGAGGAGAGCUAAUCGCAAGAGAAGGCUUGAAUUGAAGCCCCGGUAAACGGCGGCCGUAACUAUAACGGUCCUAAGGUAGCGAAAUUCCUUGUCGGGUAAGUUC
RNAcentral lists this ribosomal RNA (1953 nucleotides) under human gut metagenome. Its description in RNAcentral is "bacterial LSU rRNA". It matches the Rfam family "Bacterial large subunit ribosomal RNA", at positions 1 to 1983 of the family's 2925-position model. The record is from RNAcentral.